AACGAACGCUGGCGGCAGGCCUAACACAUGCAAGUCGAACGCUCCAGCAAUGGAGAGUGGCAGACGGGUGAGUAACGCGUGGGAACCUACCCUUUGGUUCGGAAUAGCCCAGGGAAACUUGGGGUAAUACCGGAUAAGCCCUUCGGGGGAAAGAUUUAUCGCCAUUGGAUGGGCCCGCGUCGGAUUAGCUAGUUGGUGGGGUAAUGGCCUACCAAGGCGACGAUCCGUAGCUGGUCUGAGAGGAUGAUCAGCCACACUGGGACUGAGACACGGCCCAGACUCCUACGGGAGGCAGCAGUGGGGAAUAUUGGACAAUGGGCGCAAGCCUGAUCCAGCCAUGCCGCGUGAGUGACGAAGGUCUUCGGAUUGUAAAGCUCUUUUGGCGGGGACGAUAAUGACGGUACCCGCAGAAUAAGCUCCGGCUAACUUCGUGCCAGCCGCCGCAGUAA
RNAcentral lists this ribosomal RNA (449 nucleotides) under uncultured bacterium. RNAcentral describes it as "partial 16S ribosomal RNA". It matches the Rfam family "Bacterial small subunit ribosomal RNA", at positions 29 to 523 of the family's 1533-position model. The record is from RNAcentral.